GAUGAAGAACGCAGCGAAAUGCGAUAAGUAAUGCGAAUUGCAGAAUUCAGUGAGUCAUCGAAUCUUUGAGCGCACAUUGCGCCCUGUGGUAUUCCGCAGGGCAUGCCUGUUCGAGCGUCAUUUCAACCCUCAAGCUCUGCUUGGUGUUGGGCCCUGCCCGCUGCGGCCGGCCCUAAAGACAGUGGCGGUGCCGCCUGGCCCUGAGCGUAGUACAUCUCUCGCUCCAGUGCCCGGUGGUAGCCUGCCAGAACCCCAACUCUCGUGGUUGACCUCGGAUCAGGUAGGGAUACCCGCUGAACUUAAGCAUAUCAAUAAGCGGAGGA
This 323-nucleotide unclassified non-coding RNA is filed under the name soil metagenome. RNAcentral's name for it is "partial contains 5.8S ribosomal RNA, internal transcribed spacer 2, and large subunit ribosomal RNA". The stretch from base 1 to 120 matches the Rfam family "5.8S ribosomal RNA", at positions 35 to 154 of the family's 154-position model. The record is from RNAcentral.